This 21-nucleotide non-coding RNA is filed under the name Caenorhabditis elegans. The record is from RNAcentral. Lineage: Eukaryota; Metazoa; Nematoda; Chromadorea; Rhabditida; Rhabditidae.
UGUGCACGGACUGCGUUUUUC